RNAcentral lists this ribosomal RNA (445 nucleotides) under Brucella melitensis. Its description in RNAcentral is "bacterial SSU rRNA". It matches the Rfam family "Bacterial small subunit ribosomal RNA", at positions 34 to 526 of the family's 1533-position model. The record is from RNAcentral. Lineage: Bacteria; Pseudomonadati; Pseudomonadota; Alphaproteobacteria; Hyphomicrobiales; Brucellaceae.
UGCCGCUCGCGGCAGGCUUACACAUGCAAGUCGAGCGCCYYGCAGGGGAGCGGCAGACGGGUGAGUAACGCGUGGGAACGUACCAUUUGCUACGGAAUAACUCAGGGAAACUUGUGCUAAUACCGUAUGUGCCCUUCGGGGGAAAGAUUUAUCGGCAAAUGAUCGGCCCGCGUUGGAUUAGCUAGUUGGUGGGGUAAAGGCUCACCAAGGCGACGAUCCAUAGCUGGUCUGAGAGGAUGAUCAGCCACACUGGGACUGAGACACGGCCCAGACUCCUACGGGAGGCAGCAGUGGGGAAUAUUGGACAAUGGGCGCAAGCCUGAUCCAGCCAUGCCGCGUGAGUGAUGAAGGCCCUAGGGUUGUAAAGCUCUUUCACCGGUGAAGAUAAUGACGGUAACCGGAGAAGAAGCCCCGGCUAACUUCGUGCCAGCAGCCGYKKUAAUAA